GAUGAACGCUGGCGGCGUGCCUAAUACAUGCAAGUCGAACGGUACUCUUUCGGGAGUACAGUGGCGAACGGGUGAGUAAUACAUAAGGAACCUGCCCUCGGGACCGGGAUAGCUGAUGGAAACGUCAGGUAAUAGCGGAUGUGAGUCAUUAUGGCAUCAUGAUGACUUGAAAGGAUGCAGCAAUGCAUCGCGCGGGGAUGGCCUUAUGGCGCAUUAGCCAGUUGGCGGGGUAACGGCCCACCAAAGCGAUGAUGCGUAGCCGAUCUGAGAGGACGACCGGCCACAUUGGGACUGAGACACGGCCCAGACUCCUACGGGAGGCAGCAGUAGGGAAUUUUCGGCAAUGGGCGCAAGCCUGACCGAGCAACGCCGCGUGAGUGUUAAGGCCUUCGGUUGUAAAGCUCUGUUGCCGGGACGAACGGUACUAUAGGAAAUGAUAAGUAAGUGACGGUACCCGGCGAGAAGCACGGCUAACUACGUGCC
RNAcentral lists this ribosomal RNA (483 nucleotides) under uncultured bacterium. RNAcentral describes it as "bacterial SSU rRNA". It matches the Rfam family "Bacterial small subunit ribosomal RNA", at positions 28 to 509 of the family's 1533-position model. The record is from RNAcentral.